This 250-nucleotide ribosomal RNA is filed under the name uncultured bacterium. RNAcentral's name for it is "partial 16S ribosomal RNA". It matches the Rfam family "Bacterial small subunit ribosomal RNA", at positions 524 to 773 of the family's 1533-position model. The record is from RNAcentral.
UACAGAGGUCCCGAGCGUUGUUCGGAUUCACUGGGCGUAAAGGGUGCGUAGGUGGCCGGGCAAGUCCGAUGUGAAAUCUCCGAGCCCAACUCGGAAACGUCAUUGGAAACUGCCCGGCUCGAGGACUGGAGAGGGGACUGGAAUUCUCGGUGUAGCAGUGAAAUGCGUAGAUAUCGAGAGGAACACCAGUGGCGAAGGCGAGUCCCUGGACAGAUCCUGACACUGAGGCACGAAAGCUAGGGGAGCAAAC